UACGUAGGGGGCAAGCGUUGUCCGGAAUUACUGGGCGUAAAGGGUGCGUAGGCGGCCUAAUAAGUCAGAUGUGAAAUACCAGGGCUCAACCUUGGGGGUGCAUUUGAAACUGUUGGGCUUGAGUGCAGGAGAGGAAAGUGGAAUUCCUAGUGUAGCGGUGAAAUGCGUAGAGAUUAGGAAGAACACCAGUGGCGAAGGCGCUUCUCUGGACUGUAACUGACGCUGAGGCUCGAAAGCGUGGGGAGCAAACAGGAUUAGAUACCCCGGUAGUCCCUGA
Molecule: ribosomal RNA, 277 nt
Filed under: uncultured prokaryote
Description: partial 16S ribosomal RNA
Rfam family: Bacterial small subunit ribosomal RNA
Source: RNAcentral